Molecule: long non-coding RNA, 1720 nt
Organism: Tympanuchus pallidicinctus (lesser prairie-chicken)
Lineage: Eukaryota; Metazoa; Chordata; Aves; Galliformes; Phasianidae
Exons: 3
Source: RefSeq, a predicted model, not a curated record
ACUGCCUCUACCACAUCAUGGCUACCAGCAGCUUGGGCUUAGAGGAGGUAUGGAGGCUGGGUCUGUUCAAGGCAUGGCUUGCAGGAGAGACUGUCCUCCUAUCCAUUGGCUUGCUAGAGGCAAUGACCUGACUGAAAUUGCCUCUGCCUUCCUCCAUCCAGCCUAUGCGAGCAGAUGGAAACAGCAGCUUGCCAAGCACACCGCACCUCCCAGCCUGCAAUAACAAUCACACAUCACCUCACCUCUGGCCCACAGUCAGCAUCAGCACCAAGGCGGUCCCUGAGAAUUGAAGGCUUGAUUAUGACCGUGCAUCAUGAGAUGCAACUGUGUUCAGCUUAGGUAAUUCUUCCUGCGGAAUAAGGAAGAAAGAAAAACAAGGAGGGGGGAUAGGGGUGCCCUUACGGUGCAGAAUUAUCUGUCCUAUGCUCCAUCUUCUGAGCUUCCUCUUCCUUUAUGGUCUUUACACUCAUAACUAGGGCAGUUUUGACAUGCAUACCUCUUGCAAUCAAUCAGCCGACCACUGAGCCGAGGAGUGUCUACCACGUUACUAAUCCCCAGUAAUUACCAGGGGACCAGUCACAGAGUGAACCAUGAGGCUGAUUCAGUUUGAUUUACUUCAUUGCUCUCUUCAGCCCAGAUGUUCAGAGAUGCACAGGUUUUUGUGCCAAAGAAUAGCCCAUUUGCAACAAGCAGCCAUUAGGUGCUAAUAUCCGUUUGCCACAGGUUUGGCAACGUGAGCCAUGCUUACACAGGAACUGCAGCUGCAGGAUAUGAACAUCUGAAAGCACUGUUAGAACAUAAGAAAAAGAAAACAGCUCAGACGCAUGACCUCAGGGCCAACGUUUUAUUAAAAAUAUAUAUUAAUGCUGCUCCCUCUGAUAAAGAACUUAUUUAGGCCUUGCUUAAAUUGAAACCUAACCUAUUGCUUAGAACUACUGUAUCUUCCUACCCAGGGGUUUAUUUUGUCACUGGGCCAAAUACAAAGUCAUGUAGUUAGAAGUCUUUGGCACCUGCCUGCACAUUUGCAUCUGGGAAGAAAAUAUUUUUGUGCCUUUCUCUCUCUUCCUCAGUAUGCAGUUGGUUUGCAGAGCCAAAGCUACCCCUAGGGCUCGCUUCUCAUAUUUGCUCUCAGAACAAAUUGAUUUCCAAGCCACCAAGUAUUCAGAUGGCUGUGGGGAUUGAAGCCUGGUUGGCUGUUUCUGAUGAUAGUCUGUGAAAUUCAAGUGUGACAAAGCAUUCAGGAGGAUGCUUAAUUAUAUUACAAGGUGUGAGGAACUUGGAACCGUAGUAUGGAGACUGCUGUAGAGAAGAUUAUUGUGCCUCAAAUUUUCCAGCAUGGUGAGCUUAUAAAACAUAAGUUUUCUUUAUUUUGUACCAUUUUCAUGUUAUAAUUAUGUUUUAGCUCACACUUCUAAAUGUAUAAAAAGCCUUAAUAUUUUAUAACCUUACUGAACUGGAAAGUUUGAGGCAUGAGCAUUUCACAGUGAUGACAGUUUGAUGCAUUGAUUUUUAUUUUGCAUUAUUUCUGGGGGGGGGGUUGAUCAAAUGCACUUGUCAAAAUUCCUUAAGAGCAUCUCACCCAUAUCCAACUUUUUAUACUCAAAGUCUUAUUCAAGACCUUAAAAAAGACUUUAACUCAUUCACAAAAGUUGUGUUGGUCUUAUAAUGAGUGGAUUUACCCAAGCUUAGUAACAGUAAUAAUAAACAAUUCUUAAUAACA